Molecule: ribosomal RNA, 581 nt
Filed under: uncultured Bacteroidales bacterium
Lineage: Bacteria; Pseudomonadati; Bacteroidota; Bacteroidia; Bacteroidales
Description: bacterial SSU rRNA
Rfam family: Bacterial small subunit ribosomal RNA
Source: RNAcentral
AGGGGCAGCAUGACGAUAGCUUGCUAUUGUUGAUGGCGACCGGCGCACGGGUGAGUAACGCGUAUCCAACCUGCCCUUGUCCAUCGGAUAACCCGUCGAAAGGCGGCCUAACACGAUAUGCAGUUCUCCGCAGGCAUCUAACGAGAACGAAAUGUGAAGGAGAAGGAUGGGGAUGCGUCUGAUUAGCCUGUUGGCGGGGUAACGGCCCACCAAGGCGACGAUCAGUAGGGGUUCUGAGAGGAAGGUCCCCCACAUUGGAACUGAGACACGGUCCAAACUCCUACGGGAGGCAGCAGUGAGGAAUAUUGGUCAAUGGGCGAGAGCCUGAACCAGCCAAGUAGCGUGCAGGAUGACGGCCCUAUGGGUUGUAAACUGCUUUUAUGCGGGGAUAAAGUGAGCCACGUGUGGCUUAUUGCAGGUACCGCAUGAAUAAGGACCAGGCUAAUUCCGUGCCAGCAGCCGCGGUAAUACGGAAGGUCCGGGCGUUAUCCGGAUUCAUGGGGUUUACCGGGAGCGUAGGCCGUCUGGUAAGCGUGUUGUGACAUGUCGGGGCUCAACCUGGGCCUUGCAGCGCGAACUGU